UACAGAGCUUCUUACUCAAAACACUGAUAAAAAGAACCCUGAAAAUUCUGCAAUUAAAGAUUCAACAAUGGGAAUGAAAACGCGUUCAACAGUCUCAUCAGUGCGCGAGAAAUGGGAUAAAAUCUUUGAAGGUUUGGUUAAGAUGCUUAAAUCUCAGCAACAACAUCUUGAAACUCUUGCUCAAGAAAGGAAGGUUCUUGAAGAUCGGAUAAAGUUACAAUACGAACGGUGGGCCUCUGACGUUCGCCUCUACGAAGGUCACAUCUCUCAGAUGAAGACUUAUUUGGAAUCAAAAGAGAUAGCGUGUGUGCUUGAGGCUGCAAAAGCCGAUUUGAUGUAGGAUUGAAGCAAAGAGAAGAUGAUCUUUGCAAAUUGAAAUUAGAAGAAACAGAGGAUGAAUUGUGCAAUUUCAGAGUCUGGUUUGACAUCCUCAGUAAAAACUCGAAAGAUGUCCCCAAAGAAACCAAAAAAGGAAUGCCAAGAUGUAUGGAUUGUGGUUCAAAGUGUAUUACUUCGAGUGCACUAGAAGGCGAUUUACAAAAGCUAAAGCUGGAAUACGAAAAUCUCGCUUCACAAACGAGUUCUCAGAUUGCAGCACUUACGACAGAGAAUAAGUUUGCAUGGAAUCAGUUAAACAUUCUUGAAAGUUGGUAUACAGAUAAAUUAAACAGCAAGCAGUCUGAAUUUGAAAAGACUAAUAGGAAAAUUGAGGUACUUAUUUCCAAUAUGGAGGAUCUGAGGUCAUCUAAUACUGAAAAGACGAAAUAAUUGAGAGAUUGAAAUCCGAAGUGUCUCGAAAAGAGGCUGAUGCAAAUAGAUUAAAUGAAGAAGUUUCUAAAUUAUCUAGGGAGAUAGAGUGGUUAAGGAAGUCCAGAAGUUUUUCUUAUAAACCUGUUAUAAGACGAUGUUCAGAAGGUGGGAGAACAUGUGUUCUGGGAGGAGAUAAUGGUGGUAGGGAUGGAUUCGAUGAUACUACGAAGAAAGAACGAUCUGCUCAUGUUCCGGAUAUUCUGAAGGACAAUGGAAAGGAAAGCAGAGUUUGAAGAGAAAAAAGGAUGAAGAAAUACCCAUUUCAGAAACUCCGAAAUUUUCACUUCUACAUUUAAAGUUCCCAGAUUGAAAGCCUCCACUCCCAAGACAACUUGACCUCUUGUAUCUUCUUGGCUUGUAACUUGUAAGUUAUUCACAUACAUUUUAUUCCAUGUCUCUCAUAUUGUUUUGCUUCUAUGUAUACUAAUUUCCACAAGAAGCUAUGCCACCAUCACGAGUCGCGACCAUGCUCCAAGGUGUUCAUAUUUAUUCGAUGUAACGGUAAAAGUAUGACUUUUGUUUCCAAA
Long non-coding RNA from Hibiscus syriacus, 1337 nucleotides. RefSeq lists it as uncharacterized. The record is from RefSeq and is a predicted model, not a curated record. The transcript has 6 exons. NCBI's taxonomy places the organism in Eukaryota, Viridiplantae, Streptophyta, Magnoliopsida, Malvales, Malvaceae.